AACUAGGGAUUAGAUACCCUAUUAUUAAAAAUUUAAUUUAUAAUACUAAAAUAGUAAAUAAAAAAUAUUGAAACUUAAAUAAUAUGGCGGUAUUUUAGUUCAUUUAGAGGAAUCUGUUUAAUAAUUGAUAAUCCACGAAUAAAUUUACUUAAUUUAUAAUUUUGUAUAUCAUUGUUAGAAAAAUAUUUUUUAGUAAAAAUAAUAUUUAAAAUUUUUAAUAAAAAUUAAUUCAAAUCAAGAUGCAGAAUAUAAUUAAGAAUAUGAUGGAUUACAAUAAAUAUAUUUAAAUGAAUAAUUUUAUUGAAAAAAAAAAUUGAAAGUGGAUUUAAAUGUAAUUUUAAUUAGUUUAUAAAAGAUCAAA
This 361-nucleotide ribosomal RNA is filed under the name Stichophthalma louisa. Its description in RNAcentral is "partial 12S ribosomal RNA". The record is from RNAcentral. Lineage: Eukaryota; Metazoa; Arthropoda; Insecta; Lepidoptera; Nymphalidae.